GCGGAAUGUUCAACUCCUAACAGCGGCGGAAGCGUGGGAGCCGCGCGGGCCGCUGUCGUCCCAACCCCCGCCGCCCUCGUCGCGCGCGGGGCCUCCGCGCCCCCCGGCUGCUGCUCGCGCCCCGCCCGGGAGCCAGAUUUUGUGGAAGUAUAAUACUUUGUCAUUAUGAGAUGUCGUCUCUCGGUGCCUCCUUUGUGCAAAUUAAAUUUGAUGACUUGCAGUUUUUUGAAAACUGCGGUGGAGGAAGUUUUGGGAGUGUUUAUCGAGCCAAAUGGAUAUCACAGGACAAGGAGGUGGCUGUAAAGAAGCUCCUCAAAAUAGAGAAAGAGGCAGAAAUACUCAGUGUCCUCAGUCACAGAAACAUCAUCCAGUUUUAUGGAGUAAUUCUUGAACCUCCCAACUAUGGCAUUGUCACAGAAUAUGCUUCUCUGGGAUCACUCUAUGAUUACAUUAACAGUAAUAGAAGUGAGGAGAUGGAUAUGGAUCACAUUAUGACCUGGGCCACUGAUGUAGCCAAAGGAAUGCACUAUUUACAUAUGGAGGCUCCUGUCAAGGUGAUUCACAGAGACCUCAAGUCAAGAAAUGUUGUUAUUGCUGCUGAUGGAGUAUUGAAGAUCUGUGACUUUGGUGCCUCUCGGUUCCAUAACCAUACAACACACAUGUCCUUGGUUGGAACGUUCCCAUGGAUGGCUCCAGAAGUUAUCCAAAGUCUCCCUGUGUCAGAAACUUGUGACACAUAUUCCUAUGGUGUGGUUCUCUGGGAGAUGCUAACAAGGGAGGUCCCCUUUAAAGGUUUGGAAGGAUUACAAGUAGCUUGGCUUGUAGUGGAAAAAAACGAGAGAUUAACCAUUCCAAGCAGUUGCCCCAGAAGUUUUGCUGAACUGUUACAUCAGUGUUGGGAAGCUGAUGCCAAGAAACGGCCAUCAUUCAAGCAAAUCAUUUCAAUCCUGGAGUCCAUGUCAAAUGACACGAGCCUUCCUGACAAGUGUAACUCAUUCCUACACAACAAGGCAGAGUGGAGGUGGGUAGCCCCGACAGCAGGCCACAGCGUCUGGCUUUUAAAGACCAUCACUCGUCUCAUUGAAGAAGUGAACCAGAGAUCUGAAUGACAGUCCUGAUUUCUGAGCAUAGCUUAGGGAAAAAGAAAAGGUUUUUUUAUGAUUUUGGAAAUCGUAUAAGUCCUGCAUUUCAUAAGUAAGCAAGAAAUAGUGUUUCUCCAAGCUUGUUGCCUUGUGUAAGUAUUUGAAAAGAAUAUUGAGGCCAGUCGCGGUGGCUCACGCCUGUAAUCCCAGCUCUUUGGGAGGCCAAGGUGGGCGGAUCACCUGAGGUCAGGAGUUUGAGACCACCUUGACCAACAUGGAGAAACCCUGUCUCUACUAAAAAUACAAAAAAUUAGCCAGGUGUGGUGGCACAUGCCUGUAAUCCCAGCUACUCAGGAGGCUGAGGCAGGAGAAUCACUUGAACCUGGAGGCAGAGGUUGCAGUGAGCUGAGAUCAUGCCAUUGCACUCCAGCCUGGGCAACAAGAGUGAAACUCCGUCUCAAAAAAAAAAAAAAAAAAAAAUUGAAAUCAUGUCUUCUGAGACAAAAGAUGGUUACCAGACAUUUCUCUGUGUUUACUCUUUGUUAGGAAGCUUUGUCCUCUGUUCUGUAAGAAACAAGAAUACUGUUUACCUUGAAAUUCGCAGAGCACUGUGUGUGCUAGUGAAGGGGGAUAGGGAGACAUCAAAAAUACUCUUAAAAGAAAACUUGAUGUCAUAAAUCCUAUUAAAGCUUGUUAAAUAAAUUUAGUAAUGAGAAAAUUGUAUUGCAUGAGUGGAAGAGUAAACCCAGGAUGAAACAUUUGAGCCAGGUCACAUGAUGCAUGAAUAUAAAUAGCAUGUUUGGAAGCUGACAUUAUUCCCCCCCUGACUCAGCAGAGAUUUAGGUAACUUCAUCUCUGCUCCUGAUAGCUGUGGGCAGUAAUGUGACGCCUUACGCCAUCUGCUGAUGCCAAAUGAAUACUGCAUGCACUUUGAAAAUUACUGCAUUGUUUACUCCUGUUACUAGAUACUUCGUUGGGCUUUCUGUUUGUUGUUUUACAAUAACCUUACCUAUUUUUAUUCCUUUGAAAUAUCUAUCUAGGGCCAGUGAGGUAAAUGAAUUUUUAUUUAGGGAUACAAAAAUUAUACAGUGAGCUCAAGUCUAGGUAUAAGGGACUUUUUUCUGGGCUGAGAUAAUUAACAAAACAAAACAUGUAAGUAAUAUUUGUUUUUUGCAGUAAGAGAUCAGUAUACAUGUCAUCAGAUCAUUCUCCUUUAAAAUCCAUAUAUAAGUUCCCAUUACUCUUAAGACAAAGACCAGAAUACUUGGCACAGUGGCUCAUGCCUGUAAUCCCAGCACUUCGGGAGGCCAAGGCGGGUGGAUUACUUGAACCCAGGAGUUCAAGCCCAGCCUGGGUGACAGAGCAAGAAUCAUUCUCAAAGAAUGAAAAGGACCAGAAUACUUAAGAAGACUCACCAGACCCUCAUUACUGUGGCCUCACCAGUGUCAGCUUAAGAAGAUCACUCUCCCCUUAAUUUCUGCCUUUCAGUCCCUCAACAGAUGCAUAUUUCUCCCCUAUUCAGGAUCUUUACAAGCAGUUUCCUCUCUUUGAAGCUUAUCCCGUUUCAGCUGUGUACCACGCCUGCCGUCACACCCCACCUUAACUCCUGUCCAUCACUGACAUAGCAGUUGAAUAACACGUCUGCAGGGAAAUGCUUCCUGACCCCAGGCCAGAUCAGGUUCCACUUUAUGUGCUCUGAGAGCAUCUCCUUCAUAGGCUUUACGGCUAUUGGAAUUAAGAAGUAAUAAGGGCCAGGCACAGUGGCUCACGCCUGUAAUCCCAGCACUUUGGGAGGCCGAGGCAGGUGGAUCACGAGGUCAGGAGAUCGAGACCAUACUGGCUAACACAGUGAAACCCCAUCUCUACUAAAAAUACAAAAAAUUAGCCAGGCAUGGUGGCAGAUGCCUGUAGUCCCAGCUACUCGGGAGGCUGAGGCAGGAGAAUGGCGUGAACCCGGGAGGCGGAGGUUGCAGUGAGCUGAGAUCACGCCACUGCACUCCAGCCUGGGCGACACAGCGAGACUCCGUCUCAAAAAAAAAAAAGAAGUAAUUCGGCAGUUAGUUGUUUAAUGUGUGUCUCACAGGCUGAAACGUAAGAGAGGCAGACAAUCACGUUUGUUCAUCACUCACAGCAUCAAAAUGUGCCUUGAACACAGCAUUUGCUCCGUAAAUAUUUGGGGAAGCAAGAGAGAAAAUUACCAUGGUGGUAAUAAUAUAAAAAGAGAUUGUGAUAUUAUACGGGAGAAUAUAAAUAUGUAUGUUUGCCAUGACAAAAGUACUUCUUAUAUUCAUUCAUUCAUUAUCCAUUCAUUGAACUUCUGCUGGUGUGAGAAUGACUGUUGCCAUUCUGGUACUGGGCUGUAGCGAUGAGCACAAGAGUCCCAGGGCAUGUGGAGCUCUCCAGCCCAAGUGUCCAAUGUUAAACUAUUAAAUAUAUUCAAAACUAUCGCAUUUCUAUUUUGACAAGUAUUAUGACAGAGAAAUAUACUAGAUGUCUGAGAGCAUAUAGCCAUGAAAUCUGAUCUAGUCCAAGGACAUAGUAAAAGGAUUUUGGAGAAAAUGCUAUUUGAUCUAUUACCAAAGGGAUUAGUAAGAUUUUAAUACCAAGAUAGGGAGUCUUUUAAAGUAUGUCAACAAGGCCAGGCAUGGUGGCUAACACCUGUAAUCCCAACACUUUGGGAGGCCGAGGUGAAAGAUUGCUUGAGCCCAGAAGUUCGAGACUAGCCUGGGCAACAUAGACCUCAUCUCUACUCACAAUUUAAAAAUUAGGUGGGCAUUGUGACUCUAACCUGUGGUCCCAGCUACUCAGGAGGCUGCAGUGGGAGGAUCACUUGAGCUGGGGAGGUCAAAGCUGCAUUGAGCCGAGAUCUGGCCAUGACACUCCAGCCUGGGCUACAGAGUGAGAUCCUAUUCAAAAAAAAAAAAAAAGAAAAGAAAAGAAA
RNAcentral lists this small RNA (4023 nucleotides) under Pongo abelii (Sumatran orangutan). Its description in RNAcentral is "retained intron". Lineage: Eukaryota; Metazoa; Chordata; Mammalia; Primates; Hominidae. The record is from RNAcentral.